GACGUGACUUCAGAGUUUGAUCCUGGCUCAGGACGAACGCUGGCGGCGUGCCUAACACAUGCAAGUCGAACGGAGUUAUUCCUUCGGGGAUAACUUAGUGGCGGACGGGUGAGUAACGCGUGAGUAACCUGCCUUUCAGAGGGGGAUAACGUUCUGAAAAGAUCGCUAAUACCGCAUGAGACUACAGAGCUGCAUGGCUCAGUGGUCAAAGGAGCAAUCCGCUGAAAGAUGGACUCGCGUCCGAUUAGAUAGUUGGCGGGGGUAACGGCCCACCAAGUCGACGAUCGGUAGCCGGACUGAGAGGUUGAACGGCCACAUUGGGACUGAGACACGGCCCAG
This 339-nucleotide ribosomal RNA is filed under the name uncultured bacterium. RNAcentral describes it as "bacterial SSU rRNA". It matches the Rfam family "Bacterial small subunit ribosomal RNA", at positions 1 to 334 of the family's 1533-position model. The record is from RNAcentral.